GACGAACGCUGGCGGCGUGCUUAACACAUGCAAGUCGAACGACGUGGCGAACGGGUGAGUAACGCGUAAUCAACCUGCCCUUCAUAGGGGGACAACAGUUGGAAACGACUGCUAAUACCGCAUACUGAUGGAGGGGAUUGCGUCUGAUUAGCUAGUUGGAGGGGUAACGGCCCACGAAGGCGAUGAUCAGUAGCCGGUCGGGUCGGGUGAGCGGCCACAUUGGGACUGGGACACGGCCCAGGCGCAUACGGGAGGCAGCAGUGGGGAUGAGGAAGAAAUGGAAAAAAGUCUUACGGAGCAACGCCGAGUGAGUGAGGAGGACCUUCGGGUUGUAGGGCGCUGUUAAUCGGGACGCGGUACCGGAAUAGAAAGCCACGGCUAACUACGUGCCAGCAGCCGCGGUAAUAC
This 408-nucleotide ribosomal RNA is filed under the name uncultured bacterium. RNAcentral's name for it is "partial 16S ribosomal RNA". It matches the Rfam family "Bacterial small subunit ribosomal RNA", at positions 28 to 526 of the family's 1533-position model. The record is from RNAcentral.